This 505-nucleotide ribosomal RNA is filed under the name uncultured bacterium. RNAcentral's name for it is "partial 16S ribosomal RNA". It matches the Rfam family "Bacterial small subunit ribosomal RNA", at positions 28 to 507 of the family's 1533-position model. The record is from RNAcentral.
GACGAACGCUGGCGGCGUGCCUAAUACAUGCAAGUAGAACGCACAGUUUAUACCGUAGCUUGCUACACCAUAAACUGUGAGUUGCGAACGGGUGAGUAACGCGUAGGUAACCUGCCUGGUAGCGGGGGAUAACUAUUGGAAACGAUAGCUAAUACCGCAUAAUAUUGAUUAUUGCAUGAUAAUUGAUUGAAAGAUGCUAUUGCAUCACUACCAGAUGGACCUGCGUUGUAUUAGCUAGUAGGUGAGGUAACGGCUCACCUAGGCGACGAUACAUAGCCGACCUGAGAGGGUGAUCGGCCACACUGGGACUGAGACACGGCCCAGACUCCUACGGGAGGCAGCAGUAGGGAAUCUUCGGCAAUGGACGAAAGUCUGACCGAGCAACGCCGCGUGAGUGAAGAAGGUUUUCGGAUCGUAAAGCUCUGUUGUAAGAGAAGAACGGGUGUGAGAGUGGAAAGUUCACACUGUGACGGUAUCUUACCAGAAAGGGACGGCUAACUGCGUG